GAUGAACGCUAGCGGCAGGCUUAACACAUGCAAGUCGAGGGGCAGCGCGGGAUAGCAAUAUCCUGGCGGCGACCGGCGGAAGGGUGCGUAACGCGUGAGCGACAUGCCCGUUGCCCGGGGACAACCGGUGGAAACGCCGACUAAUCCCCGAUGGGAUAUUGUGCCGCAUGGCACGAUAUUGAAAGUUACGGCGGCGACGGAUUGGCUCGCGUCCGAUUAGCUUGUUGGCGGGGCAACGGCCCACCAAGGCUGCGAUCGGUAGGGGUACUGAGAGGAAGGCCCCCCAGAAUGGGACUGAGACACGGCCCAUACUCCUACGGGAGGAGGCAGUGAGGAAUAUUGAUCAAUGGGCGGAAGCCUGAACCAGCCAGGCCGCGUGCAGGAAGGAGGCCCUAUGGGCUGUGAACCGCUUUUGCCUGGAGGCAAUAAGGGCGUCGCGCACGUCCGAUGAGAGUACCAGGCGAAUAAGCAUCGGCUAACUCCGUG
RNAcentral lists this ribosomal RNA (486 nucleotides) under uncultured bacterium. RNAcentral's name for it is "partial 16S ribosomal RNA". It matches the Rfam family "Bacterial small subunit ribosomal RNA", at positions 28 to 507 of the family's 1533-position model. The record is from RNAcentral.